UAUUCUUGAAAAUGUUUCACUGGACUCUUUUGUUCAUUUAGGGCUCCUGGAGCUCUGUGUUGCAGAGAUUCAAGGGGGCUUCUGGGCGGAACAGCGUUUUCAUCCACCGCUUCGAUGGAGGCAGAGCUCCUACGUUUAGGACUUCGGGUUGGAUGUGGUUCUGAGAGAAAACAAACAAAAACGAAAGCAAAGUAAACACCAGGGCUUAAGAGGGUUGGGGUGAGAUUCGCAUGUCCAGCU
RNAcentral lists this long non-coding RNA (240 nucleotides) under Chinchilla lanigera (long-tailed chinchilla). RNAcentral describes it as "lncRNA (ENSCLAG00000027667.1)". The record is from RNAcentral. Lineage: Eukaryota; Metazoa; Chordata; Mammalia; Rodentia; Chinchillidae.